This 1642-nucleotide ribosomal RNA is filed under the name Enterobacter sp. BIDMC 26. RNAcentral describes it as "bacterial LSU rRNA". It matches the Rfam family "Bacterial large subunit ribosomal RNA", at positions 1307 to 2925 of the family's 2925-position model. Lineage: Bacteria; Pseudomonadati; Pseudomonadota; Gammaproteobacteria; Enterobacterales; Enterobacteriaceae. The record is from RNAcentral.
UAACGAUAAAGCGGGUGAAAAGCCCGCUCGCCGGAAGACCAAGGGUUCCUGUCCAACGUUAAUCGGGGCAGGGUGAGUCGACCCCUAAGGCGAGGCCGAAAGGCGUAGUCGAUGGGAAACAGGUUAAUAUUCCUGUACUUGGUGUUACUGCGAAGGGGGGACGGAGAAGGCUAUGUUAGCCGGGCGACGGUUGUCCCGGUUUAAGCAUGUAGGCGGAGGUUCCAGGUAAAUCCGGUUCCUUGUUAACGCUGAGGUGUGAUGACGAGGCACUACGGUGCUGAAGUAACAAAUGCCCUGCUUCCAGGAAAAGCCUCUAAGCAUCAGGUAACACGAAAUCGUACCCCAAACCGACACAGGUGGUCAGGUAGAGAAUACCAAGGCGCUUGAGAGAACUCGGGUGAAGGAACUAGGCAAAAUGGUGCCGUAACUUCGGGAGAAGGCACGCUGAUAUGUAGGUGAAGUCCCUGCGGAUGGAGCUGAAAUCAGUCGAAGAUACCAGCUGGCUGCAACUGUUUAUUAAAAACACAGCACUGUGCAAACACGAAAGUGGACGUAUACGGUGUGACGCCUGCCCGGUGCCGGAAGGUUAAUUGAUGGGGUUAGCGGUAACGCGAAGCUCUUGAUCGAAGCCCCGGUAAACGGCGGCCGUAACUAUAACGGUCCUAAGGUAGCGAAAUUCCUUGUCGGGUAAGUUCCGACCUGCACGAAUGGCGUAAUGAUGGCCAGGCUGUCUCCACCCGAGACUCAGUGAAAUUGAACUCGCUGUGAAGAUGCAGUGUACCCGCGGCAAGACGGAAAGACCCCGUGAACCUUUACUAUAGCUUGACACUGAACACUGGUCCUUGAUGUGUAGGAUAGGUGGGAGGCUUUGAAGCGUGGACGCCAGUCUGCGUGGAGCCAACCUUGAAAUACCACCCUUUAAUGGCUGGUGUUCUAACGUAGACCCGUGAUCCGGGUUGCGGACAGUGUCUGGUGGGUAGUUUGACUGGGGCGGUCUCCUCCCAAAGAGUAACGGAGGAGCACGAAGGUUAGCUAAUCCUGGUCGGACAUCAGGAGGUUAGUGCAAUGGCAUAAGCUAGCUUGACUGCGAGAGUGACGGCUCGAGCAGGUGCGAAAGCAGGUCAUAGUGAUCCGGUGGUUCUGAAUGGAAGGGCCAUCGCUCAACGGAUAAAAGGUACUCCGGGGAUAACAGGCUGAUACCGCCCAAGAGUUCAUAUCGACGGCGGUGUUUGGCACCUCGAUGUCGGCUCAUCACAUCCUGGGGCUGAAGUAGGUCCCAAGGGUAUGGCUGUUCGCCAUUUAAAGUGGUACGCGAGCUGGGUUUAGAACGUCGUGAGACAGUUCGGUCCCUAUCUGCCGUGGGCGCUGGAGAAUUGAGGGGGGCUGCUCCUAGUACGAGAGGACCGGAGUGGACGCAUCACUGGUGUUCGGGUUGUCAUGCCAAUGGCACUGCCCGGUAGCUAAAUGCGGAAGAGAUAAGUGCUGAAAGCAUCUAAGCACGAAACUUGCCCCGAGAUGAGUUCUCCCUGAGACUUUAAGUCUCCUGAAGGAACGUUGAAGACUACGACGUUGAUAGGUCGGGUGUGUAAGCGCAGCGAUGCGUUGAGCUAACCGAUACUAAUGAACCGUGAGGCUUAACCUU